UUAGCAUAUCAAUAAGCGGAGGAAAAGAAACCAACAGGGAUUGCCUUAGUAACGGCGAGUGAAGCGGCAAAAGCUCAAAUUUAAAAUCUGGCACUCUUAGUGUCCGAGUUGUACUUUGGAGAGACAUCUUCUGAAGGGACCCAGCCUAUGUGCCUUGGAACAGGACGUCAUAGAGGGUGAGAAUCCCGUCCUUGGCUGGAUGUUUCCUCCUGUAUGUAGUGUCUUCUACGAGUCGAGUUGUUUGGGAAUGCAGCUCAAAAUGGGUGGUAAAUUUCAUCUAAAGCUAAAUACUGGCGAGAGACCGAUAGCGCACAAGUAGAGUGAUCGAAAGAUGAAAAGCACUUUGAAAAUAGAGUCAAAAAGUACGUGAAAUUGUUGAAAGGGAAGCGCUUGAGACCAGAGUCAACCUUUGGCAAACAACUGUCCUUCUGGGUGGUGCACUUGUCAUUGGCUGGGCCAGCAUCGGUUGGGACGGCAGGAUAAAGGCCCUGGGAAUGUGACUCCCUUGUGGAGUGUUAUAGCCCUGGGUGCCAUGCUGUCAGCCCCGACCGUGGACCGCGCUUCGGCUUGGAUGCUGGCUUAAUGGUCUUCAGCGGCCCGUCUUGAAACACGGACCAAGGAGUCUAACGUCUAUGCGAGUGUUUGGGCUUCAAACCCUUACGCGUAAUGAAAGUAAACGGAGGUGGGAAUCCUGCAAGGGAUGCACCAUCGACCGAUCCUGAUGUCUUCGGAUGGAUUUGAGUAGGAGCAUAGCUGUUGGGACCCGAAAGAUGGUGAACUAUGCCUGAAUAGGGUGAAGCCAGAGGAAACUCUGGUGGAGGCUCGCAGCGGUUCUGACGUGCAAAUCGAUCGUCAAAUUUGGGUAUAGGGGCGAAAGACUAAUCGAACCAUGUUGUCGCUGGUUCCUGCCGAGUCUCCCCUCAGAGUAUAA
Molecule: ribosomal RNA, 931 nt
Filed under: Tuber sp.
Lineage: Eukaryota; Fungi; Ascomycota; Pezizomycetes; Pezizales; Tuberaceae
Description: partial large subunit ribosomal RNA
Rfam family: Eukaryotic large subunit ribosomal RNA
Source: RNAcentral